GACGAACGCUGGCGGCGUGCUUAACACAUGCAAGUCGAACGAGAAGGGAUGAGAAGCUUGCUUCUUAUCAAUUCGAGUGGCAAACGGGUGAGUAACGCGUAAGCAACCUGCCCUUCAGAUGGGGACAACAGCUGGAAACGGCUGCUAAUACCGAAUACGUUCUUUUUGUCGCAUGGCAGAGAGAAGAAAGGGAGGCUCUUCGGAGCUUUCGCUGAAGGAGGGGCUUGCGUCUGAUUAGAUAGUUGGUGAGGUAACGGCUCACCAAGUCGACGAUCAGUAGCCGGACUGAGAGGUUGAACGGCCACAUUGGGACUGAGAUACGGCCCAG
This 328-nucleotide ribosomal RNA is filed under the name uncultured bacterium. RNAcentral describes it as "bacterial SSU rRNA". It matches the Rfam family "Bacterial small subunit ribosomal RNA", at positions 28 to 334 of the family's 1533-position model. The record is from RNAcentral.